Molecule: long non-coding RNA, 283 nt
Filed under: Elaeis guineensis (African oil palm)
Lineage: Eukaryota; Viridiplantae; Streptophyta; Magnoliopsida; Arecales; Arecaceae
Description: long non-coding RNA (EGUI_LNC073058)
Source: RNAcentral
UACCACCUUUUACUAAAAAUGCAUCUUAAUUGAUGCACCUUCUUCUGUAAAUAUUUUUUCACUAAUGAAAUUGGGUGGUUCUACCUCCCACUUCAUCGAAAAAAGAAAAACAACAAGUAUCAUAAUUAUUAUAAUAAGAUGAAUGACCCAUGAGCACUUAAACCAUUCCAACAAUGUCCCGUUGUUAUGUAGGGAAGCACUUGAACUUUAUGAGAUUUGUCACUGUUAGAAAAUAGGCUGAUUCGCAUACAUAGAUCGAUACGGUUAUAGUAACCAUAGUGGA